RNAcentral lists this ribosomal RNA (361 nucleotides) under uncultured bacterium. Its description in RNAcentral is "bacterial SSU rRNA". It matches the Rfam family "Bacterial small subunit ribosomal RNA", at positions 29 to 419 of the family's 1533-position model. The record is from RNAcentral.
AACGAACGCUGGCGGCAGGCCUAACACAUGCAAGUCGAACGCCCUAGCAAUAGGGAGUGGCAGACGGGUGAGUAACACGUGGGAACGUUCCUUUCGGUUCGGAAUAACCCAGGGAAACUUGGACUAAUACCGGAUACGUGCGAGAGCAGAAAGAUUUAUCGCCGAAAGAUCGGCCCGCGUCCGAUUAGCUAGUUGGUGAGGUAACGGCUCACCAAGGCGACGAUCGGUAGCUGGUCUGAGAGGAUGAUCAGCCACACUGGACUGAGACACGGCCCGGACUCCUACGGGAGGCAGCAGUGGGGAAUAUGGACAAUGGGCGCAAGCCUGAUCCAGCCAUGCCGCGUGAGUGAUGAAGGCCCUA